UGGGAAUUUGCAUCUGCAUAGGUUCCACGGAAGGGAGGAAACCCCUUUGAUUUAGGCUCUGGGUUCUUAAUUGGCCCAGCUGCCAGAAGUUAGAUUGAUUAGCCCGCAAGCCGGUCAUUGGAGAAUUUAAAAAUAAUCAAGAGUUAUGAUUGGUUUCGGGGGUUCCGACGCCACGUGCAAAUCAGGGAUAAAAGAUCUGGGAAAUGGCUGAGAAAGCGCACUCUGCAAUCCGCAAAUCGCCCGGCUGCUGAUGUUCCAUCUAAGUAGCUGUCCUUACGUCCUUUGUGAUGGAGAACUGCGAAAGCCUCUGAAAUGCGGAACCUUGGAAGGACUCUAACUAUCCUAUUUAUGUCUUAGUUGUGAGUAUGUAAGUCAGUUAGAUUUUAUAAUGUCUUUAUUUUCUUGCCUGCAACUUACUAAAGAUGUGCCUGCUAUUUUAGCAUGUUUUCUUAUGUUCUUUUAAAAUAAAUUUUAAAGAAGAAACUGUUUUGGUUUGUGUGCCUUUCCGGGGGAAAAGCUAAUUCCUAGCCUUACGUUUGGUUACGCUCUACCGUAGAAUUUCUGUCUGCAAGUCUGUGGAUACAAUUUGUGGAGUGGGGAUAACCAGCAAUAACGGGGCACAGCCUUCUCCCUGGGUUGUGGCUCUAGGUUCCCCGGACCAGAGGGAGUGGUGGCAGCCUUACCGGUGUUAUUUUGUCCUGUUUCUGUAAAAUGUAAACUUGCCUGCCAGCCCUGCUCAAGAAACCUGAUCUGGCCGGAGAGCAAAGACAGGUGAGGGAGGAGCGAGUGGCUGGGGGCGAAGUUUACCACAUGGUGGCAGCGGUGGGAUCGAGCUUCCCUGCGGAAAGGCACUUUGAUUUUUUAAAAGUGGCACGUAUCUUUUGUGGGUUACAGGUGGUUUGUUUUUUUGGAUAGAGAUAGUUAGGAGAUGGAGGAGGCUGCGACUUCGCAGGAAUACACAAUGAAGACGUUAGAGCAGUGGGGAUUGGUGGGAGAAGGCAGUUCCCUUCCUGUGGAGACCAAUCCCCCCCAAGCUUUAAGUCCCAGAGCGGAAUCCGCCUCCUGGUUUUCGGAAGACCCUGAUUCAGAGGGGGAGCUGGUGGAUGCCAGCGAGUUAAGUACUGUCCGGAAGGGUCGGCGAGAGUCCUGUAUUGUGGAAAGAGCAAGGGGCACGCCAGUUACCCAACCCCUAUCACCUAGUGAGGAAGUGGAUGCUGGGAUGGCCUCCACACGUCCUAGGGGGAAUUAUCUUGUUUACACAGAGCCUAAAGAGAUGGACUUCUCAGAGGGUUAUGAUGUGGAGUGGAUGCGAGAUCCGGUGAAUGGUGGAUUCCGUUGCCGAGAGAAACAUCCAAAGAUGGGCCAAUCCAUCCUGAUGGGGCCGAGAGUCAGCCGGAUGGCGUAUGACUACCAAGACCUGCCGCACCAGCUGCAGGAGGUGACUGUGGG
Molecule: non-coding RNA, 1449 nt
Organism: Podarcis lilfordi (Lilford's wall lizard)
Lineage: Eukaryota; Metazoa; Chordata; Lepidosauria; Squamata; Lacertidae
Source: the annotation of a GenBank genome assembly